GAACAUUUCGAAGAGUUGAAGUUCUUAUUGGGAAGUGACUGCAGCCUUACGCAGCAAAAUUAUUAUAAGCCACAUUAUUAUCACAGGGGAAACUUUUAUGUGUCUUGUGAUGAUGAACGUGCUAUUGAUAUUGAAAAAUGUCCAAGAUGCCAAAACCUGAGGCUUGUCUAUGACUGCCCAGUGGAUGGUUGUCAGGGAAAAGAGCAUGCA
Molecule: unclassified non-coding RNA, 210 nt
Filed under: Hevea brasiliensis (rubber tree)
Lineage: Eukaryota; Viridiplantae; Streptophyta; Magnoliopsida; Malpighiales; Euphorbiaceae
Source: RNAcentral